CGCGCGGCGGAUGAAAAGGGAACGCGGUGAAAAACCGCGGCAGCCGCCCGCUACUGUGAGAAGGACGAAAGCGCGGACACGGGGUUUCCCGUGUGGUGCCACUGGAGACGGAUUUGCCGCCUCCGGGAAGGGCCGCGCCGGUAGGAGGAUUUCGAGCCAGGAGACCUGCCUUGCAUGUUUA
RNAcentral lists this non-coding RNA (181 nucleotides) under Candidatus Avimonas caecicola. The record is from RNAcentral. Lineage: Bacteria; Bacillati; Bacillota; Clostridia.